RNAcentral lists this transfer RNA (73 nucleotides) under Lottia gigantea (owl limpet). It matches the Rfam family "tRNA". From Rfam's summary of the family: Transfer RNA (tRNA) molecules are approximately 80 nucleotides in length. The record is from Rfam by way of RNAcentral. Lineage: Eukaryota; Metazoa; Mollusca; Gastropoda; Lottiidae.
AACUGGAUAGCUCAAGUGGCAGAGCGUUGAUUAUUAUAAUCAAGAGAUGUAGGUUCGAUUCCUGCUCCAGUUC